This 447-nucleotide ribosomal RNA is filed under the name uncultured bacterium. RNAcentral's name for it is "partial 16S ribosomal RNA". It matches the Rfam family "Bacterial small subunit ribosomal RNA", at positions 29 to 523 of the family's 1533-position model. The record is from RNAcentral.
AGCGAACGCUGGCGGCAGGCUUAACACAUGCAAGUCGAACGGCCCUUCGGGAUGGUGGCGGACGGGUGAGUAACACGUGGGAACGUACCCUUAGGUUCGGAGCAACACUGGGAAACUUGUGCUAAUACCGGAUAAGCCCUUCGGGGGAAAGAUUUAUCGCCUUUGGAGCGGCCCGCGUCUGAUUAGCUUGUUGGUGAGGUAAUGGCUCACCAAGGCUACGAUCAGUAGCUGGUCUGAGAGGGUGGCCAGCCACACUGGGACUGAGACACGGCCCAGACUCCUACGGGGGGCAGCAGUGGGGAAUCUUGCGCAAUGGGGGGAAGCCUGACGCAGCCAUGCCGCGUGGAUGAUGAAGGUCUUAGGAUUGUAAAAUCCUUUCACCGGGGACGAUAAUGACGGUACCCGGAGAAGAAGCCCCGGCUAACUUCGUGCCAGCCGCCGCCGUAA